RNAcentral lists this small nucleolar RNA (76 nucleotides) under Delphinapterus leucas (beluga whale). RNAcentral's name for it is "Small nucleolar RNA SNORD26 (ENSDLEG00000017356.1)". It matches the Rfam family "Small nucleolar RNA SNORD26". From Rfam's summary of the family: U26 is a member of the C/D class of snoRNA which contain the C (UGAUGA) and D (CUGA) box motifs. U26 is encoded within the U22 snoRNA host gene (UHG) in mammals and is thought to act as a 2'-O-ribose methylation guide for ribosomal RNA. The record is from Rfam by way of RNAcentral. Lineage: Eukaryota; Metazoa; Chordata; Mammalia; Artiodactyla; Monodontidae.
CUACGGGGAUGAUCUCAAAAGUUGAACUCUCUCUUUCUGAUGAAUUAGUGGAGAAAACAUAAGAAUUCUGAGUAGC